This 597-nucleotide ribosomal RNA is filed under the name uncultured bacterium. RNAcentral describes it as "bacterial SSU rRNA". It matches the Rfam family "Bacterial small subunit ribosomal RNA", at positions 338 to 951 of the family's 1533-position model. The record is from RNAcentral.
CCUACGGGAGGCAGCAGUAAGGAAUCUUCCACAAUGGACGAAAGUCUGAUGGAGCAACGCCGCGUGCAGGAUGAAGGCUUUCGGGUCGUAAACUGCUUUUAUAUGGGAAGAUUAUGACGGUACCAUAUGAAUAAGGACCGGCUAACUACGUGCCAGCAGCCGCGGUAAUACGUAGGGUCCAAGCGAUAUCCGGAAUUACUGGGCGUAAAGCGUGUGUAGGUGGAUUAAUAAGUGUGAUGCGAAAUCCGGCGGCUCAACCGUUUGGACUGUGUCGCAUACUGUUAGUCUAGAGGACGGCAGAGGUAAGUGGAAUUACGGGUGUAGCAGUGAAAUGCGUAGAUAUCCGUAGGAACACCAAUGGCGAAGGCAGCUUACUGGGCCACACCUGACACUGAGACACGAAAGCGUGGGGAGCGAACAGGAUUAGAUACCCUGGUAGUCCACGCCGUAAACGAUGCAUACUAUUAGUAUGGGGUAUCGACCCCCUGUGCUGAGAAGCUAACGCGAUAAGUAUGCCGCCUGGGGAGUACGAGCGCAAGCUUAAAACUCAAAUGAAUUGACGGCUGAGAGUGCCGACGACGACGACGAGGGAGGAGG